Molecule: ribosomal RNA, 460 nt
Filed under: uncultured bacterium
Lineage: Bacteria
Description: partial 16S ribosomal RNA
Rfam family: Bacterial small subunit ribosomal RNA
Source: RNAcentral
CCUACGGGAGGCAGCAGUGAGGAAUAUUGGUCAAUGGACGCAAGUCUGAACCAGCCAUGCCGCGUGCAGGAAGACGGCUCUAUGAGUUGUAAACUGCUUUUGUACGAGGGUAAACGCAGAUACGCGUAUCUGUCUGAAAGUAUCUUACGAAUAAGGAUCGGCUAACUCCGUGCCAGCAGCCGCGGUAAUACGGAGGAUUCAAGCGUUAUCCGGAUUUAUUGGGUUUAAAGGGUGCGUAGGCGGUCGGAUAAGUUAGAGGUGAAAUCCCGAGGCUCAACUUCUGAAUUGCCUUUGAUACUGUCCGGCUAGAGAGUAGUUGCGGUAGGCGGAAUGUACGGUGUAGCGGUGAAAUGCUUAGAGAUCAUACAGAACACCGAUUGCGAAGGCAGCUUACCAAGCUACUUCUGACGUUGAGGCACGAAAGCGUGGGGAGCAAACAGGAUUAGAUACCCGGGUAGUC